AUUCCAUGAAGAAGGCACUUUCGUGGUAACUCUUUACAUCUUUCCCAUGCCUCAUACAAGGACUCAUCAUCCAUUUGUUGGAAAGCAGUGAUCUCGUUCUUCAACUU
Non-coding RNA from Gossypium arboreum, 107 nucleotides. NCBI's taxonomy places the organism in Eukaryota, Viridiplantae, Streptophyta, Magnoliopsida, Malvales, Malvaceae. The record is from Rfam.